CGGCGAGUGAAGCGGCAACAGCUCAAAUUUGAAAGCUAGCCUUCGGGUUCGCAUUGUAAUUUGUAGAGGAUGAUUUGGGGAAGCCGCCUGUCUAAGUUCCUUGGAACAGGACGUCAUAGAGGGUGAGAAUCCCGUAUGUGACAGGAAAUGGCACCCUAUGUAAAUCUCCUUCGACGAGUCGAGUUGUUUGGGAAUGCAGCUCUAAAUGGGAGGUAAAUUUCUUCUAAAGCUAAAUAUUGGCGAGAGACCGAUAGCGCACAAGUAGAGUGAUCGAAAGAUGAAAAGCACUUUGGAAAGAGAGUUAAAAAGCACGUGAAAUUGUUGAAAGGGAAGCGCUNGCAAUCAGACUUGUUUAAACUGUUCGGCCGGUCUUCUGACCGGUUUACUCAGUUUGGACAGGCCAGCAUCAGUUUCGGCGGCCGGAUAAAGGCUCUGGGAAUGUGGCCUCCACUUCGGUGGAGGUGUUAUAGCCCAGGGUGUAAUACGGCCAGCCGGGACUGA
Molecule: ribosomal RNA, 501 nt
Filed under: Aureobasidium pullulans
Lineage: Eukaryota; Fungi; Ascomycota; Dothideomycetes; Dothideales; Saccotheciaceae
Description: partial large subunit ribosomal RNA
Rfam family: Eukaryotic large subunit ribosomal RNA
Source: RNAcentral